CCUUAAGAUGAAUCUCGUCCUCGAGAUUCGAAAGAUGGUGAUCAAAGAAACAUGGACACUCUACUUUUGAACCUUAUUCACUUCCUCGAGUAGCUCCUUAGUAGCCAUUCCAUUGCUUUCGUUACUCCGAACAUCUCCCUCAAUUGUUUCCAAGAGUUCAGUAGUGCACAUUGUAUAGAUAAGGUUUUUUUUUUUACUCAUAGCUCAAACAAGGGUAAUACCUACACAUGAUAUUGACUUCUCAUCCAGAGGCAUAAAAGAUACUUCCAACUAAGGCACUAGAACGCAUGGAACCUUCAUUUAGCAACCGAGUCUCAUAACCUUUUUAAAUGCUACACAUCAUAUAGUCUUUAAAAUUUGUUGUACCGAGUCUCUUGAUCCAAGGUUGGCUUCAUGACUAAGUUCCAACUAUCAGUACCAUUAUCACAGUUAAGUUGCUUCACUCUCAUAUUGUAUAUAUAACUUUGUAGAUUUUAGUGUCAUCUAAUCCUCAUAAAUACAACUCUCAAUCCGUGAGUAUCAGCAAUGACAUAUAUCUCCAUUAAUAUUCUCUAAGUAGGAUGAUAUCUUGAAACAAACCAACAUACCACUUGAUGUCCUCGUAGA
Molecule: long non-coding RNA, 606 nt
Filed under: Sorghum bicolor (sorghum)
Lineage: Eukaryota; Viridiplantae; Streptophyta; Magnoliopsida; Poales; Poaceae
Description: long non-coding RNA (SBIC_LNC011174)
Source: RNAcentral